GAUGAACGCUGGCGGCGUGCCUAAUACAUGCAAGUCGAGCGAACGGAUAAGGAGCCUGCUCCUUUGAAGUUAGCGGCGGACGGGUGAGUAACACGUGGGUAACCUACCUAUAAGACUGGAAUAACUUCGGGAGACCGGAGCUAAUGCCGGAUAACAUUUGGAACUGCAUGGUUCUAAAGUAAAAGGUGGUUUUGCUAUCACUUAUAGAUGGACCCGCGCCGUAUUAGCUAGUUGGUAAGGUAACGGCUUACCAAGGCAACGAUACGUAGCCGACCCGAGAGGGUGAUCGGCCACACUGGCACUGAGACACGGUCCAGACUCCUACGGGAGGCAUCAGUAGGGAAUCUUCCGCAAUGGACGAAAGUCUGACGGAGCAACGCCGCGUGAGUGAUGAAGGUUUUCGGAUCGUAAAACUCUGUUAUUAGGGAAGAACAAAUGUGUAAGUAACUGGGCACAUCUUGACGGUACCUAAUCAGAAAGCCACGGCUAACUACGUGCCAGCAGCCGCCGUAA
RNAcentral lists this ribosomal RNA (513 nucleotides) under uncultured bacterium. RNAcentral's name for it is "partial 16S ribosomal RNA". It matches the Rfam family "Bacterial small subunit ribosomal RNA", at positions 28 to 523 of the family's 1533-position model. The record is from RNAcentral.